Molecule: long non-coding RNA, 1546 nt
Filed under: Cicer arietinum (chickpea)
Lineage: Eukaryota; Viridiplantae; Streptophyta; Magnoliopsida; Fabales; Fabaceae
Description: long non-coding RNA (CARI_LNC001385)
Source: RNAcentral
ACACACAAACAACCAUAUAUAUUUAUACAUAUUUUGAUACAAUUAUAUACUUACCUAUCAAGCAUAAACUUCAAUUUCGAGUGAUUUGUAUAAUCAUGACGUACUAAAUCAAAUAAUAAACUUUUUCUAAUGUGGUAAUAAUUACAAUCAAUACUCAAUGCGUCCUAAGAAAAAUUUCAAUAAGCAAAUCAAUUACAAAAAGAGAAAAUAAUAUAACCUAAAUUAAUUUCGAAAGAAAAUCUAACACAUAAUUAUAUGAUAAAACAAACAACUUAUCCAUAUGAUCUUUUUUGUCCAUCAAUACAUCAACUAUAUAAUCUUUGACUCGAGAUGGAUCAUUUUCAAACUUGGAUAUCUGACGGGGAGAUAUGAAGAAGAAUUUGUUGAUCAAUUGAUGCGGGCGCACCAAUUUUUCAUACAAGAACCUUGUACGAAAAUAUAGCAUCAUUGAUUCACUGAUAAAAAAACUAAUUCAUUCAUCUAAAGUUAUUUGGAAUACCAUAUAUAUAUGGAGAUAACAGAUACACCUAUUUCUUGACGUGAGUGAGUCGUUCGCCUUAACAGCAUUACCAUUAUCUUUGGAUUUUAUAGGAGUCUAAAAAUGGUUUAAAAAAAUAGAAAUUUCAAGACAAAAUAAAAAGCAAUAUAUUGAUAGUGAUUGAAAUAGUAAGAAGAAUAUAGACAGUAUAUAUAUAUAUAGAUAUAUGAAAAAUAUGGCUUUUAACAUACCUCAGCGUCUAGAGAAAUAAAGUUUAUUGGCCAUGCCACAUGUCAUCAUAUGGCCUCUCCACCAACCUUGCAUCUCCAACUUCAAGAAGUAUAGGCGGCAAUGGAGCAUCCAAAUCUAAAGAAAUAUCAAUUAAUAGUAGAUAGUGGUUUAUGAUGUAUUAUGCCUUCCAAAAUGAAUAUUGUACACCUUUCCCUUAUCAAUCAUCCUUAUCAAUCAUGCGAUAAGUAUGAGAUGAAAAAUAUGAUACUAAAGACGAGAUAUCCUAAAUCAAUAAUCAAUAUAAAAUUAUUAAUAAACUUUUUAAUUAGCAUUAACAUCAAUUAAUUAGAUAGAUUAUAGUACUUUAAUUCAUUAAUUACCUCGGAAACGUUCUUUGAAACAAUAAGAUUGGAACUAACUUUGUCGCUAGGGGUAUGCAUAUUUUGUGGAAAGCUUUAUGACAAAUUUUUUACAAUAUCCUUCAUUCGCAACUAACGAACUUCAGCAAUUAGCUCUAGUAUCAUAACAAAUAACUAUGUAUUACUUGGAUUUUUUUUUUCUUUUGAUGUUGAUAAUAAUCUUUUGGAUUGACUUCAAAACUCUUACCCCUCACACAACUAGAAUACUCAAAAACAUUUAAUAUUUUACUAAGUAUGUCCCUACAACUGGUGUCUUGUGUCUCUCGUUGAGAUAAAGUUUCCUAAUUAAUAUAUAUUAAUACGAAAAAGAUUAAUUUAUCGUGAACACUUUCGCAAGAUAUUAAAAAACAAAUAAAUAGUGUUAUUAUAUACUUACACAUUGUUCAUAUAUUUGUUGAACACCUUUGUUAUCGACUAC